Long non-coding RNA from Hydra vulgaris (swiftwater hydra), 515 nucleotides. RefSeq lists it as uncharacterized. The record is from RefSeq and is a predicted model, not a curated record. Lineage: Eukaryota; Metazoa; Cnidaria; Hydrozoa; Anthoathecata; Hydridae.
GAUAUAAAUUUAUUGAUGGAAAGCUAAAUUAACUUGGUAUUUAACCAGUGAAGCAGAUGAAUAAAAAUCUAACAAAAUUUUUAUUUUACAAGCCAUUAUUUUAAAGGAUUGCUUUAACAAUUCCGUUCAAACACGCUUGUAAUUUAAUGUUACAUUUAUGAUUUAAUAUUAUUUCUUUACAGGAAACCGUUUACCUCAACCAGAGUUAUAUUUCAUAGAAUUAUGUUGACCAUGAUCCAAAUAUUGCCAUGGAUGUGCACUUGUGUCUUAGGCUUAUGCUUUGCAAAAGGUUCACCAUCGCCCUUAAGUUGCUGUGGGUUUUAUGGUUUUACUUCCAACCUGGCAUAUAAAUGCACUUAGUAUCUGAAGUUAUUUGUCAAUAACUGGUGAUCAGACUUUCAAACGAACACGUUUUUAAGGGCUGAGAAGGUGAAAGUUAGAAGUCUGCAGACUGCAACGUAAAUCAAUUUUCAACACAUGGUUUUCUGAAUAUAUUUAGUUUUCGAUUGAAAUGA